GAUGAACGCUGGCGGCGUGCCUAAUACAUGCAAGUCGAGCGAACAGACGAGGAGCUUGCUCCUUUGACGUUAGCGGCGGACGGGUGAGUAACACGUGGGUAACCUACCUAUAAGACUGGGAUAACUUCGGGAAACCGGAGCUAAUACCGGAUAAUAUUUCGAACCGCAUGGUUCGAUAGUGAAAGAUGGCUUUGCUAUCACUUAUAGAUGGACCUGCGCCGUAUUAGCUAGUUGGUAAGGUAACGGCUUACCAAGGCAACGAUACGUAGCCGACCUGAGAGGGUGAUCGGCCACACUGGAACUGAGACACGGUCCAGACUCCUACGGGAGGAAGCAGUAGGGAAUCUUCCGCAAUGGGCGAAAGCCUGACGGAGCAACGCCGCGUGAGUGAUGAAGGUCUUCGGAUCGUAAAACUCUGUUAUUAGGGAAGAACAAACGUGUAAGUAACUGUGCACGUCUUGACGGUACCUAAUCAGAAAGCCACGGCUAACUACGUG
Molecule: ribosomal RNA, 497 nt
Filed under: uncultured bacterium
Lineage: Bacteria
Description: partial 16S ribosomal RNA
Rfam family: Bacterial small subunit ribosomal RNA
Source: RNAcentral